Molecule: ribosomal RNA, 460 nt
Filed under: uncultured bacterium
Lineage: Bacteria
Description: partial 16S ribosomal RNA
Rfam family: Bacterial small subunit ribosomal RNA
Source: RNAcentral
CCUACGGGAGGCUGCAGUGAGGACUCUUGGUCAAUGGACGAGCGUCUGAACCAGCCAAGUCGCGUGAAGGAUGACUGCCCUCUGGGUUGUCAACUUCUUGAAGAUGGGAAUAAAAUGUUCAACGUGUGGGCUUUUGUAUGUACCAUAUGAAUAAGGAUCGGCUAACUCCGUGCCAGCAGCCGCGGUAAUACGGAGGAUCCGAGCGUUAUACGGAUUUAUUUGGUUUAAAGGGAGCGUAGGUGGAUUAUUAAGUCAGUUGUGAAAGUUUGCGGCUCAACCGUAAAAUUGCAGUUGAAACUGGCAGUCUUGAGUACAGUAGAGGUGGGCGGAAUUCGUGGUGUGGCGGUGAAAUGCUUAGAUAGCACGAAGAACUCCGAUUGCGAAGGCAGUUCACUGGACUGCAACUGACACUGAGGCUCGAAAGUGUGGGUAUCAAACAGGAUUAGAUACCCGAGUAGUC